This 468-nucleotide ribosomal RNA is filed under the name uncultured bacterium. RNAcentral's name for it is "partial 16S ribosomal RNA". It matches the Rfam family "Bacterial small subunit ribosomal RNA", at positions 28 to 507 of the family's 1533-position model. The record is from RNAcentral.
GACGAACGCUGGCGGCGUGCUUAACACAUGCAAGUCGAACGGAAAGGCCCUGCUUUUGUGGGGUGCUCGAGUGGCGAACGGGUGAGUAACACGUGAGUAACCUGCCCUUGACUUUGGGAUAACUUCAGGAAACUGGGGCUAAUACCGGAUAGGAGCUCCUGCUGCAUGGUGGGGGUUGGAAAGUUUCGGCGGUUGGGGAUGGACUCGCGGCUUAUCAGCUUGUUGGUGGGGUAGUGGCUUACCAAGGCUUUGACGGGUAGCCGGCCUGAGAGGGUGACCGGCCACAUUGGGACUGCGCUACGGCCCAGACUCCUACGGGCGGCAGCAGUGGGGAAUAUUGCACAAUGGGCGGAAGCCUGAUGCAGCAACGCCGCGUGCGGGAUGACGGCCUUCGGGUUGUAAACCGCUUUCGCCUGUGACGAAGCGUGAGUGACGGUAAUGGGUAAAGAAGCACGGGCUAACUACGCG